CCUACGGGAGGCAGCAGUGAGGAAUAUUGGUCAAUGGCCGAGAGGCUGAACCAGCCAAGUCGCGUGAGGGAAGAAGGCCCUACGGGUUGUAAACCUCUUUUGUCGGGGAGCAAAGAGAGUCACGUGUGACUCGUUUAGAGUACCCGAAGAAAAAGCAUCGGCUAACUCCGUGCCAGCAGCCGCGGUAAUACGGAGGAUGCGAGCGUUAUCCGGAUUUAUUGGGUUUAAAGGGUGCGCAGGCGGAGGUGCAAGUCAGCGGUCAAGUUGCGGGGCUCAACCCCGUACUGCCGUUGAAACUGCAUCCCUUGAGUGCGCGAGAAGUAUGCGGAAUGCGUGGUGUAGCGGUGAAAUGCAUAGAUAUCACGCAGAACUCCGAUUGCGAAGGCAGCAUACCGGCGCGCAACUGACGCUCAUGCACGAAAGCGUGGGUAUCGAACAGGAUUAGAUACCCGGGUAGUC
This 459-nucleotide ribosomal RNA is filed under the name uncultured bacterium. RNAcentral's name for it is "partial 16S ribosomal RNA". It matches the Rfam family "Bacterial small subunit ribosomal RNA", at positions 338 to 795 of the family's 1533-position model. The record is from RNAcentral.